CGGUGAUCAAUUGCGAGUUGGAGCUGAACCGGAUCACGUGUGCCGUGGGAGCCCGAUUGCAAGUGACUACAAGCAAUCGGAGAGCAAUAUUCGGUUGGUUGUGCUCUACCAAAGCGAUUAGAUUCACACGCGAGCGGCGCGGCGAUGCGAGGAAAGGGCGUAGCUCCCUAGUUAGCGCUCUACCACCGAGACCAGAGAUAACAGUACCCUGAGUCGGCUACUUAGGGAUGUAAAAGAAAAGAAAAGAACAAAGCUGUAAUAAUCUUGUUAAAACUAGAUUUUAUUUGGAAGCUAAAAAGAGAAUGAAAAGUAUAAUAUGUGAUGUAAAAUGUAUGUCAGUUGAAUGCUUAUAGUAGUAUAGGUGUAUUUAUGUUUUC
Molecule: long non-coding RNA, 377 nt
Organism: Ananas comosus (pineapple)
Lineage: Eukaryota; Viridiplantae; Streptophyta; Magnoliopsida; Poales; Bromeliaceae
Exons: 2
Source: RefSeq, a predicted model, not a curated record